GGAAGGGCUGCAGCUCAGUGGCAGAUCACUUGCUUUGCUUGCAGAAGGUCCUGGGUUCAACACCCAGCAGAUCUCCUCCA
Podarcis lilfordi (Lilford's wall lizard) is the source of this 80-nucleotide non-coding RNA. The record is from the annotation of a GenBank genome assembly. NCBI's taxonomy places the organism in Eukaryota, Metazoa, Chordata, Lepidosauria, Squamata, Lacertidae.